AAAACGGAGGAAAAGAAACCAACAGGGAUUGCCUCAGUAGCGGCGAGUGAAGCGGCAAAAGCUCAAAUUUGAAAUCUGGCGUCUUUGGCGUCCGAGUUGUAAUUUGAAGAAGGUAUCUUUGGGCCCGGCUCUUGUCUAUGUUCCUUGGAACAGGACGUCACAGAGGGUGAGAAUCCCGUGCGAUGAGAUGACCCGGGUCUGUGUAAAGUUCCUUCGACGAGUCGAGUUGUUUGGGAAUGCAGCUCUAAGUGGGUGGUAAAUUCCAUCUAAAGCUAAAUAUUGGCGAGAGACCGAUAGCGAACAAGUACAGUGAUGGAAAGAUGAAAAGAACUUUGAAAAGAGAGUGAAAAAGUACGUGAAAUUGUUGAAAGGGAAGGGCUUGAGAUCAGACUUGGUAUUUUGCAUGCUGCUCUCUCGGGGGCGGCCGCUGCGGUUUACCGGGCCAGCAUCGGUUUGGAGCGGCAGGAUAAUGGCGGAGGAAUGUGGCACGGCUUCUGCUGUGUGUUAUAGCCUCUGACGAUACUGCCAGCCUAGACCGAGGACUGCGGUUUUUAACCUAGGAUGUUGGCAUAAUGAUCUUAAGUCGCCCGUCUUGAAAA
RNAcentral lists this ribosomal RNA (599 nucleotides) under Candida albicans. RNAcentral describes it as "eukaryotic LSU rRNA". It matches the Rfam family "Eukaryotic large subunit ribosomal RNA", at positions 47 to 660 of the family's 3401-position model. The record is from RNAcentral. Lineage: Eukaryota; Fungi; Ascomycota; Pichiomycetes; Serinales; Debaryomycetaceae.